AUGGGGCAUCACGAAACUCAUGGUAUCUGUACCAUUCUCUCCCUACUCCUACUGUGGAGUACCAUCGUAUCCGCCGGAGACGAUGGCUUGGUCCGUAUUGCUUUGAAGAAGAGGCCGCUAAUGGAAGACAUCUAUAACAAGCUAGUGCCAAAGAUUACAACGGAGAACAGCGGGGCAGGGAGUAAGGUUGAUCCGGUGAGGGAAGCAGUUAACCAAGUUCGCGCCCAGGCACAAAGGAUAUUCACAGAGGCUGCGGCCAUGGAACAGCUGCUCAAGCGCCGUUGGAGUCACAGAGGGAUCGGAGGAAACAGACGUGUGCGCCAAGGUUACCAGGCCGUCGUCCCGCUCAAGAAGUACGUGAACGCUCAAUAUUUUGGGCAGAUUGGGGUUGGCUCCCCGCCACAGAAUUUCACGGUGGUCUUCGACACGGGGAGCGCCAACCUCUGGGUCCCUUCCGCCGAGUGCUUCUUCUCCCUUGCUUGCUACUUCCAUCCCAAGUAUGUAUCAAGACGGUCCAGCACCUACAAGGAGAACGGAACACCUGCUUCCAUUCAUUAUGGAAAAGGAGCAAUUUUUGGAUUUUACAGUCAAGAUCAAGUAACUAUUGGUGAUCUAGUUGUAAACAAUCAGGAAUUCAUUGAAGCUACUUACGAGCCUGGCUUUACAUUUUUAGCAGCAAAAUUCGAUGGCAUUCUUGGACUUGGAUUUAAGGAAAUUUCGGUUGAAGGCUCUGUUCCAGUCUGGUACAAUAUGGUUGCACAAGGCCUUGUGAACCAACAUGUUUUCUCCUUUUGGUUAAAUCGAAAUGCAAACAAUGGGGAUGGAGGUGAAAUUGUUUUCGGAGGUAGUGACCCCAAACAUUACAAAGGCAGCCAUACAUACACCCGAGUAACCCAGAAAGCAUACUGGCAGUUUGAAAUGGGAGACUUUCUUAUUGGUGGGAAGAGCACUGGAAUUUGUGUGGAUGGAUGUGCGGCAAUAGCAGACUCCGGAACUUCAUUGAUUGCUGGUCCAAUAGGUGUCAUUGCCCAGAUCAAUGAGCGAAUUGGAGCCACUGGAGUGGCUAACAAAGAGUGCAAACAAGUUGUUUCUGGAUAUGGACAAGAAAUGAUAGAGUUGCUGAAAUCGGAGACACCACCGGCACAAGUGUGUUCGAAGAUUGGGCUCUGCGCAUUUGACGGAACUAGAGGAGUAAGUGCUGGUAUUAAGAGGGUAACGGAAGAGGGACGAACAACAUCUGUAGACAACAUGUUUGAUGCUACAUGCAAUGCAUGCGAGAUGGCAGUGAGGUGGAUGCAAAGCGAAUUCGUUCAGAAUCAUACCAAGGAGGGCAUGUUGGAGUAUGUCGGUCGGCUCUGCCACAGUAUGCCUAGUCCCCUAGGAUCAUAUGUGGACUGUAGACACAUUGAUUCCCUGCAAAGUGUCUCGUUCAGCAUAGGCGGAAGGAUAUUUGAGCUCCAACCAGAACAGUACAUUCUCAAGGUUGGCGAUGGAUUCAUGGCUCAGUGUAUUAGCGGAUUCACGUAUUUGGACAUUCCCCCUCCAGUAGGCCCUCUCUGGAUAAUGGGUGAUGUCUUCAUGGGAGCAUACCACACCGUCUUUGACUAUGACAAGAUGAGUGUUGGCUUCGCGGAUACUGCAUGA
This 1644-nucleotide ribosomal RNA is filed under the name Triticum aestivum (bread wheat). RNAcentral's name for it is "partial small subunit ribosomal RNA". Lineage: Eukaryota; Viridiplantae; Streptophyta; Magnoliopsida; Poales; Poaceae. The record is from RNAcentral.